Molecule: non-coding RNA, 274 nt
Organism: Pelobates cultripes (western spadefoot toad)
Lineage: Eukaryota; Metazoa; Chordata; Amphibia; Anura; Pelobatidae
Source: the annotation of a GenBank genome assembly
CAAGCACUCUGGCAGACACCACAAUCACCGAACCGGAGAAACAAAUAAAUUCUCCCAAGCAUAUGAAUGCUGUAGACAGUUGAAUAGGAACCAUAGGAAUUGGUUUACUCUCCUAGCAGUCAAACUGGAACAGCAUACAAUGAAUCCUUCCCCCAAUAAUGAGACGACACUUCACUUUGAGGGUUAAAACAGGAACUCCCUGUACUGUCACUUACAGUCUCUUUUAUUCCCAAUCCACAAACAUAGUACAGCCCACAGGGCGUUACAAAACAAC